RNAcentral lists this ribosomal RNA (405 nucleotides) under uncultured bacterium. Its description in RNAcentral is "partial 16S ribosomal RNA". It matches the Rfam family "Bacterial small subunit ribosomal RNA", at positions 30 to 526 of the family's 1533-position model. The record is from RNAcentral.
AUUGAACGCUAGCGGCAGGCCUAACACAUGCAAGUCGAACGAGCGGCGGACGGGUGAGUAAUAUAUCGGGACCUGCCCAGUAGCGGGGGAUAACUACUCGAAACAGUGGCUAAUACCGCAUACUAUCGGAGCGACCGAUAUGGGAUUAGCUAGUAGGUGGGGUAAAGGCUCACCUAGGCCACGAUCUCUAGCUGGUUUGAGAGGAUGAUCAGCCACACUGGGACUGAGACAAGGCCCAGACUCCUACGGGAGGCAGCAGUGGGGAAUAUUGGACAAUGGGGGCAAGCCUGAUCCAGCCAUCCCGCGUGUAUGAGAAGGCCUUAGGGUUGUAAAGUACUUUCGGCGGGGAAGCGGUAUCUGCAGAAUAAGCACCGGCUAACUACGUGCCAGCAGCCGCGGUAAUUC